Long non-coding RNA from Aphis gossypii (cotton aphid), 953 nucleotides. RefSeq lists it as uncharacterized. The record is from RefSeq and is a predicted model, not a curated record. Lineage: Eukaryota; Metazoa; Arthropoda; Insecta; Hemiptera; Aphididae. The transcript is spliced from 2 exons.
AAACAAAAAGUACAUGUUGAUUUUAUUAAAAAUAUUGAACUAGUAAUAGUAAAAAUUACAAAAGCAGUUUUAAAAGGAGAAUUGUUAUCUAUCACAUUUUUAUUCUAUAAUACAGCUAUAACAUUUAAAAAUUGUUUAAUAUGCUAUCUACUACAUAUUUUUUAGUAUAGUAUGCAGCUAUCUACAGAAAGAACGUUAUCUAUCAAUAUAUAUCAUACUACAAGUAAUAUUUUUUAGGAAUGUGAAACAAAUAAUGUAGUCAAUAUUUUAACAUAUUGUAUUUAACAAGUCAGUUUAAGAAUAUUUUUAAAAUUUAAGAUGAGUUUAACUGUGAGUUAUUUUUAUUGGCACAUCCUUGGGGAUAAAGAUAUGUGUGCACAAUUUUUAAAAGAACGAGAAUUACAUAUAACAAAGAUUACAGGGAACAGAGCUGAAACACAAACCAUCAAAAUGCUUUGGAAGCGCGUAAAAAAUAAGUAUAACACAAAAUCAUGUAGAGCAACUGACAUAUUAAAAUAUCAACAUCAAGAAGAUAGUCGAUUCUUGAUUUGACAAAAAAAAUAUAUUUUAAAAUUAUAAUCCACAUUUCAACAUAAGCAGUAAUUUGAACAUUGAUGUGGUUGAGCAAUUAACUUUUUAUUAUAUAGAUAAUACAUGGAACAGAUGCUAUAUUUAAAUACAUAUUAUCAUUGGUAAUUAAGCAGAAUAUUGAUGAUGCAGCUACUUGUGACCAGCUACCUGGAGCUGCACCAAUAUCUAUUACACACUGGCCUGGUUUCAAUAUAGAAAAUCUAUCAUCCAUUUGCAAUAGUUUAAAUGCACUUCUACAUCUGUAUUAAAAAUGUAAGACAAAUAUUUUAUUGUUUUUGUGAGGCAUUAUGUUUGCCUAUUUUGUUAAUGAUAAUUAAAUAUACUACACAGUUAAAAUAAAAUUAAUUAAGACUUAUCUACAA